AGACAGAUGACAAGCAGAAGCAGAAACAGGAGUGCUAGUCCAGCAGUCCCUCCAGAGGCAAUGAUGAGGACCAUAGAUGCUGAGGAAAAGGGAAGUGGAAGCAGGCAGAGUGGUUGACUGCUGGCGUAGUCUCAGUUCUGUUGGACCCAGAGAAGUCCAGAUAGAAGAGGCCUCCAGGAUACUGUGGAUGAAUGGAGCAGAUGAUGGAGAAGCUGUGGCCCCUGAUCACCUCUGGCCCCUGAAGGUCCCAGAACAUCCCUCCAUUUGGAGCACUGAGAGAGAUGUUGGGCUGUAUCAGGACCACUUGGAAGAAAGUAAACAGCAAUAUGACUGUAAUGUGAUUCCAUAUUCACACCUUGAGACUGAGAAAACUGAGAAAGGUGUGUAUGAUGGACAAGGUAAUCAGUCUCUCAUCUCUAUCAAGGCUAUGAAUCUUAAAUAUAUAGAUAUAGAUUAGGCAGCACUUGUUUCCCAACUACCACCUCACCUUUAGUAACGUUGCUGUAAGGGGAGCUGAUGUCUUGACUGUUGGAGAGGGUUCUGUAGAGACAGCUGUAACUGCCCUGGUGUGAAUCGUCCAUCUUAAACUUUGCUAAAGUAGCCCUGGGCUGUGAGGAGCCAACGGUCACAUUCAUAACCGAGUCUCCAUUCAGAUAGAAGAUGAAUUCCACAGCAUUACAGAGGAUACGGGAUGGAAGAGUGCAGGUGAGUUGGACCUCCUCUCCAUGCAAGAAGGCAGAAUAGGACGGGUCUGUGGAGAGUGAAGGCUUCUGCAAGACAACACCUG
Molecule: long non-coding RNA, 787 nt
Organism: Salvelinus fontinalis (brook trout)
Lineage: Eukaryota; Metazoa; Chordata; Actinopteri; Salmoniformes; Salmonidae
Exons: 2
Source: RefSeq, a predicted model, not a curated record